RNAcentral lists this ribosomal RNA (505 nucleotides) under uncultured bacterium. RNAcentral's name for it is "bacterial SSU rRNA". It matches the Rfam family "Bacterial small subunit ribosomal RNA", at positions 34 to 507 of the family's 1533-position model. The record is from RNAcentral.
CGCUGGCGGCGUGCUUAACACAUGCAAGUCGAACGAGAGGAGAAGGAAGCUUGCUUCUUUCAAAUCUAGUGGCAAACGGGUGAGUAACACGUAAACAACCUGCCUUCAGGAUGGGGACAACAGACGGAAACGACUGCUAAUACCGAAUACGUUCCUUAGGUCGCAUGACUUUAGGAAGAAAGGGUGGCCUCUACUUGUAAGCUAUCGCCUGAAGAGGGGUUUGCGUCUGAUUAGGUAGUUGGUGAGGUAACGGCCCACCAAGCCGACGAUCAGUAGCCGGUCUGAGAGGAUGAACGGCCACACUGAAACUGAGACACGGUCCAGACUCCUACGGGAGGCAGCAGUGGGGAAUCUUCCGCAAUGGGCGAAAGCCUGACGGAGCAACGCCGCGUGAGUGAUGACGGCCUUCGGGUUGUAAAGCUCUGUGAUCGGGGACGAACGGUCAGCAGACGAAUACUCUGCUGAAGUGACGGUACCCGAAUAGCAAGCCACGGCUAACUACGUG